This 74-nucleotide transfer RNA is filed under the name Clostridiales bacterium. Its description in RNAcentral is "tRNA-Arg". It matches the Rfam family "tRNA". Rfam says of the family: Transfer RNA (tRNA) molecules are approximately 80 nucleotides in length. Their secondary structure includes four short double-helical elements and three loops (D, anti-codon, and T loops). RNAcentral also lists the same sequence under 1 other name. The record is from RNAcentral. Lineage: Bacteria; Bacillati; Bacillota; Clostridia; Eubacteriales.
GUAUCUGUAGCUCAGCAGGAUAGAGCAACGGCCUUCUAAGCCGUGGGUCGGGGGUUCGAAUCCCUUCAGAUACG